This 546-nucleotide ribosomal RNA is filed under the name Camelus bactrianus (Bactrian camel). Its description in RNAcentral is "partial large subunit ribosomal RNA". It matches the Rfam family "Bacterial large subunit ribosomal RNA", at positions 1816 to 2597 of the family's 2925-position model. Lineage: Eukaryota; Metazoa; Chordata; Mammalia; Artiodactyla; Camelidae. The record is from RNAcentral.
CACCUCUAGCAUUACUAGUAUUAGAGGCACUGCCUGCCCAGUGACAUUAGUUAAACGGCCGCGGUAUCCUGACCGUGCAAAGGUAGCAUAAUCAUUUGUUCUUUAAAUAGGGACUUGUAUGAACGGCCACACGAGGGUUCUACUGUCUCUUGCUUCCAAUCAGUGAAAUUGACCUCCCCGUGCAGAGGCGGGGAUACACAAAUAAGACGAGAAGACCCUAUGGAGCUUUAAUUAACUAACUCAAAGAAAAUAUAAAUAACCGCCAAGGGAUAAUAAUCUUCUACCUGAGUUAGCAAUUUCGGUUGGGGUGACCUCGGAGAACAGAAAAACCUCCGAGUGACUAAAAUCUAGACUUACCAGUCAAAAUGUAGUGUCACUUAUUGAUCCAAAAUAUUUGAUCAACGGAACAAGUUACCCUAGGGAUAACAGCGCAAUCCUAUUCAAGAGUUCAUAUCGACAAUAGGGUUUACGACCUCGAUGUUGGAUCAGGACACCCCAAUGGUGCAGCCGCUAUUAAAGGUUCGUUUGUUCGACGAUUAAAGUCCU